AUGCAUGCUGUGAUACAACAGUUCUCAAGCUCUGAAUCGGGUCUACAGAAUCAGAGAAAGAAAGGGAUAGAGAGGAAGAGGAAGAAGAGGAAGAAAAAGAAGAAGAAGAAGAAGGAGGAGGAGGAGGAGAAUAAGGAGGAGGAGGAAGAAGAGGAAAAGGAGGAGGAGAAGAAGAAGGAGGAGAAGAAGAAGGAGAAGGAGAAGAAGAAGAAGAAGGAGGAGGAGGAUGAGGAGAAGGAGGAGGAGGAGGAAGAAGAGGAAGAGGAGAAGAAGAAGAAGAAGAAGAAGGAGGAGGAUGAGGAGAAGGAGGAGGAGAGGGAAGGGAAGGAGGGAAGAGGUAGGGGAGGGGAAGGGGGAGAGGGAGGGAUAGAAAGAUUUGGCUGUUGUGUAAGUCUGACAAGCAAUUUUUCAAUAGCUUUUUAUUUCCAACAUUUAAAAAGGAGAAACAAGCUUUUAAAUAAUAUAUAUGACAUAUUUAAAAGGUGAAAAGAAGUUACUCAAAGGAAGCUGGGAUGACAGGUGGGGUGCCCAGUGCUUUGCCUAGUUUAUAAUUUGAGAUUUUUUUUUAUUGCAGGAGAAGAAGGCAGCCUCAGACUUUCAGCUUGAUUAUGUAGGAGACAAUGCACUGAUAUCCCUAGAAGAACUUCAGCUUUUUUUUUUCUUUAAACAGAUUGUUUCAUUUAUUUUUUUCUACUGUAUUACAGUAUUAUUAUUAUCAUUAUUAUUUUUACAGUCUUAUUUUGAAAAAUAGUCCAUAUUAAAAAUAAAAUCCUCAAGCAUGGUUUUCUAACAGCUGUCAUUUGCUUUUAUGCUGCUAUAGUAACUUCAUAUUAAGAAAAACCUUUCUAUCAUGAUCUUUUUCCUCAGCCCAGUGUGACUCCCCAUUUUUCUCCUGGAUUGGGUUUCUAAGUGUUCUUUUCCAUUGAAUGCACACUAUCUGUUCUGUUUGGACCUUAAAUGUCUCCCCCAAAUCUCAUGUAUUGAAGACUUGGUCCCCAGCUGAUGGUGCUAUUGGGGGAUGGGCCUAGAGGGAGGGAGACGGUCAUUUGGGGGAUGCCCUCGAGAGUGUGUGGGGCCCCAGCCUCCGAUGCCCUUUCUUUCUCUGCUUCCUGGCCACCAUGAGGUGGGCAGCUUUCUUUUGCCAUGUGUUUGCCAUGAUGUACUGCCUUACUACAGGGCCAAAAACAAAAGGGCCAAGCAACUACGGACUGAAACCUCUGAAGCCAUAAGCUAAAAUAAACAUUUCUUCCUUCUAAACUGUUUAUCUCAGGUAUUUUGUCCCAGUCGUAGAAAGCUGGCUAACACAUUAUCUUUAUUAUUCUACCCAUUGUCUAGAUAAGUGCUAAGCAUAGGAACAUUCAUAGAUGAAUAAAAUACUGUUCUUAAUUUUAAGGAUUUUGGUUUGGGGUACUUUUCUAUCUGUCUGAAUCUUCUCCCCAGCAACUGAAUGUGUGUUGUCUGUCGUGUUGGCAUGUAUGCUCAGCUCUCCUCUCUGUAUUUUCCUUUGUCAAGCUCCCCCAUCCUUCUUUCUUUCUCAUUCAACUUCAUCCUACUACACUGUUUUACGUUUAGCUAGUGUAUUGGAAAAGUCCCGGGGUAGGCAUGGAGAUGUAGCAAUUCAGCCUCUGAUGAGAUUGGCACUUUACCCAGAAUCUUCUCAGUUGCUUCAUUUAUUAGAAUAGGAGUUGGGCCCAAUCAGGAACGCUGAGGUUUAUUUGCACAUUGGAAUUACCUGGGGAACCUUUUAAAAAAUGUUGAUGGAAGGUCCCUCUCCUAGAGAGUCUAAUAUAAUCUGAGUUUAGGGUGUGGGAGCUUUGAAAUCUUCUAAUGAGUGGGGAAAGUUGAGAACCAUUGGGCAGAACCUUGGGCUGAAUGAUCUAAUUACUCACUUUCCAUGACAAACACGUGUGUCACAGUAGGAUCAAAUGGAUUUUGGAGUUUGAUGGACCAGGUUCAAAUUCUAGCCAGCAAUAACCCUGUGGGGAAAAUUAGUCCACUUUUCCGAAUCUUAAUUUUAGUAUGCAAUUAAUAGAGGUCGGUAAUACUUUGCCAAAUACAAAGGUUUAAUGAAUCAUACCAUGUGAUAGACGUUCAAGCAAAGGCAAUUAUUAUUGUUACUAUUAUUAUUUGCCCUAAAAGUGUCCUGGUCGCUGGCUUCUUUAUUUCUACCGUCACUGUCAGUUCCUAGGCUUAACGCAUGAUUGCUGAGUGAGGACCAGACGGUGACUGUGACCGUCCUCCCACGAAGCAGAGGUGAAGGCGUGAUGUCACCCACUCUGGUCAAUAUUCUCAGUUCUUGUCACUUAGCCUGUAGGUCCUGGACCAUUGGCAUAGUACCCCCUGGAACCUGUGACAAAGGAGAAUCUCAGCCCCAUCAAGACCUUCUGCAUCACUUAACUAGAUCCCCAGGGGAUUUGCGCUCACACUGCACUUGGGAAGCACUGCUCCAAGACCUCUCAAUCCCUGGGAUGUGUGUGGAGGGAAUGAAUUCAAGCUCCUGGAGUGGUGACAGUUUACAAAUUCCAGCCUCUUUGUUGGAGAUGCCAUGGUGAGCCCAGGGGAGUCACGGUUGUAUUCCAGCUGGCAGUAGGAGCCCCUGGCACACCCUGCGUGCACCACGCCUGUGGAAGGCAGGGCUUUAGGCAAAACUCAUCAUCCCGCCAUCCUGCCACCUUUCUUCACCAGGCCCCACCCUCAGCCUGGUGCUGGUUCUUUCACAGGACUUAGUGGAUGCCUCAAGGCCAUCAAUCACCGUGAAAAAUUAUCUCGGGUCACAGGAGGCUGCUGUUUGCACGCACAGGGCAGGGCUCCCUCCAACUCCAUGGAGCCUGGCCUCAGCUCCUGUGGCCCAGCCAGGACUUCUGAAUGCUGCCCACCCCCAACACUGACACCUCCUGCUCUGCAGGACCAGCACUCCAAGGUCUUGGCGACCUUCCCUAAGCAUUUUCUGGGUGGCCCCCAAGAGUCCCUUCGUUCUGCGUUUUGAAUUUCUUGACUAUUUAAACCCAGGGACCUGGCCACAAUUCUUUCCUACACCGCCCCAGGAUACAACUCCUUUGCCUAAAGACCACCCCCCCCCAACUGUGGGGUGCUGUAUUUUCUAGAGCAACAGAGAGUUGAAUACACACAUUCAAAGGACACCUGCCUUCCCAUUUGAUACUCCUCCUGUCCUGGGGCAGAUGGGGAGCCUGUCUCCCAUUAUGACUCACUGUGUGAACAAGGGUGAAUCUUCUGGCCAGAGCUGCAGCCACUGGUCCACAUGAUGCAGAGUAUUUCUUAGAGUAUUUUCUCUCAAGUGUUUAUGGUUACUUUCAAUAAGUAAUUUUGUGAGUCUUUGCUUUAUUGAGCUUGCCCACUAGCCUGUAAGCUUCCUGGGGGUGGAGACAGGGCUGCUCUGUGCACCGGUUAGCCCCAGCUUCAGGUUCAGUGCCUGGCUCCCAGAGAUCUCCUGCAGCAAUUGUCUGAGUCGAUGGACAGAUACUGUACCUGGCUGAAUGAUUUGGUGAUUCUGGGACUUAAAGGGCCAGGAUGCUACAGGGUGUGUAUAUCUUUGGGGUGGUGAGAGGGUGGGAGUGGAUUUCCCUCAAGUAUAGCCCUCAGCACAGGGCUACAGCAUUGUUAUGUUGUGGGCCUUGUGGUCCAGAAAGCUAUGUCUUUGCCACCUGGGACAAAUACGGACAGCCCUAGUCCACUAGCUCCUGCCUCAGGCCAGUCAGUCUUAGGCACCAACCAGCUGGCGCCCCUGCCUGGCAGGUCUCCUCUACGUUCAGAGCUUUGACUUCUAGGACUCACUGCAAAGGGGCAGGGUCAAGCCUCCAGCCUCAGGUGCGCAGCUUUGCAACACCUGAGGCUGGGGAUGCUUGGGUCAUUCACAGGGUGUAAACAGAAAGUAAACCCACCUCUCCAGGGCUUCUUUGGUGGGGGACAGCAGGUCCUCCACAUAUACCCUGUGCAGCAUGGUGAUUGGAUGGGAGCUCAGGGUGACUUGUCCAGUUCACUUUUUCCUGUCCUGUGGGCUUCAGUGUCUUCUCUCAGCUGCAGGCCAUGCUUUGAGGGGUCACUUCCACCACUUGUCCAUUCCCAGUUUCCCAUCCCACCGGACAUCUAGGUCAGUCCCCAGGGCUCUAGCACAUGGUAUGAGGGUUAAGAUAGGUUUCGCAUCCUGGUGCAGCAGCAAAACACAGGGACAUCAGUGUCAAAGCCAAGGCUGCAUAUGAUCAGUGGUGAUGCUGUGGGCAGAGUAGGGCUUCCAAGCACAGGAAAGGUUUCUAACAUCAUCAGUCUAAUAGGAAGCCUGUCACACAGCCUUCCAGGGGGUCAGGGUGCCUAUCACGCUUAAUAAGAGUUGCUAAGUUUCAAGCCUUUUUGAAAUGAUACCACACCCUAUGCAAUUAAAUGCUAGAUGGCAGGCAGGCACAAUUUAGGAUUAAAGGGUUUGGGUAGUAUCUGUAUUGUCUGCAGUAGGCAGAAGAAGAUUUACUCAAGACUUAGGCCUUAAAAGGACCUUCCCAUUUAUGUAGCAUUGAGAGAAGAUGGGUAAGAGGGUUGGCUUUCCAGGCAGAGACCUGGAUAUAGGCUGAGAGGAGCACCAGGUUUCGGGGCCACAGACAGCCUGUGAUGAGACUGUCUGGUGUUCACUGUGAUGGUGGUCGGCCCGGGGAACCUGCUUGUACCCACAAGGAAGCGAUGGUCUCUGACACCUGGAGAAGCCAUCAGUACUGCAACUGCACUAUGAUACUUGCUUCCUCUGGUGAAUGAUAUCGUAUCAUAACCAGUCCCUUUGCCCCUGCCACCCUACCAAGGAAGCCAGCAUGAGAUAAAGUGCAUGUAAGAAAAAUACUACAUUAUAAAAAAGGAAACUAUGAACUUCAGUGAACAUUUAACACAGCAAACACAUGCUCUAGGUUCCAAAAUGUGGGCAGUAAGAAUGCGAAUAUGUAUGUGUUCAAAGAAUAACUCUUUUUUUUUUUUUGGUUUUUGGUUUUUCUUCGGUACCAGGAACCGAACUCACGACCUUGCGCUUGCCAGGCAAGCGCUUUUGCCGCUGAGCUAAAUCCCCAGCCCCUCAAAGAAUAACUCUAAUAAACUGUAAUCAAG
Molecule: long non-coding RNA, 5097 nt
Filed under: Chinchilla lanigera (long-tailed chinchilla)
Lineage: Eukaryota; Metazoa; Chordata; Mammalia; Rodentia; Chinchillidae
Description: lncRNA (ENSCLAG00000022293.1)
Source: RNAcentral